UGUAAUUGAUGACUUCAUAAUCUGGUAACUCCAAAUCACUGUAAUCGGUGGAAUUCAUCUUUGUUUAGCUACUUUUCAGCUAUUUUGGGUAUAAAAUUUUUGAGAAAUGUCUUCGUUUGGGUUCAAAUUGUAGAUAAGUAUAAUUGAUUAUUGCAUUCAAGAAAUGGAAACUCAAGUGAAAUACAUGUGGGUUAUAGUAUUUAUUGUGAGUAUAAGCAUUGCAGGAUUCCAUGGAGUGGAUGUAACUCAUGAUUAUUAUGGUCCUGUGGGAAGCAUGACGUAGAGAAGGAAGCUCAGAAGCUGUCUCCAAGUACAUACGCAACCAAAUACCGAAGAGCUCCAGUUUCCAAGCGUUGCUGCGCUAUAAUAGAGAAAAAGCUUAGCAAUCCAGACUGUCUCUGUGCUAUUUUGCAAACUCGUAUGCUGGAGUGAGAAAUGAAAUCCAAGUGUAGCUAGUUUUCUCAAAUCAUAUUUGAUCUUUAAGAUAUCAUCCCUAUUAUUUAGGGAUGGCAAAACUCAAACCAUCAUUCAGAAUAGAGAGGAUUUUCUUUUGAAAGUGAAUGCAGAUUGAAUUUUAUAGUAGUUAAAGCAAUUAACACACAAGCUUGUAACACAAGGUAACUUGAAAAAAGUACCAUAAUUUCACUCACUCGAACGAAAUGGGAUCAUGGCAACAUGGAUUUGUGGCUGAUUCGAUGCUCAUGUUGUGGUGUUCAUCGGAUCUUCAUCUAUUUAAGAAUCUUAACCAUCAGGUGAGACCUGUUUUGGAUUAAGUUAUAAAAAUUAUGCCACUUACAGCAAUUAUUUUAAUUAGUUAAUGACAACCUUAAACAUCAAAUCCUCUUCGACUUGCAAUUUUUUUCCGCAGAAAACAAUAUCAACAUCUAAGCAAUCUUAUAGAUAUCUAACCAACAAAAACCAAAUAUAAACUGAACAAUUCUCCAAAUACAGAAACCAGGAAAUAGUUAACAUCUCAAACAUAUAACCCAAACAAUAACAGCAAUAUUAAGAAGCUCACAACAAAAAAUUCCUAUUACAUCUUACACAUAUAUGUUCUAGCUCCGCAUCCCUCUUCAUAUUCAGUAUCCAUUUCAUGCCUUCUUCAUAUUUAGUAUUCAUUUGAUGCAUCUCUCGCUGGUUGACGUAUUACAUGUUUCUCAAUAUUCUCUUGUAUUCCAUUUAUAGAGAGAAGAAGACGCACCUACAUAUUACUAAAAUAUUUGAAUUCAACAUUAUAAUCAUGUCACAAAAAAUAAAAUUAUAAUGGACUUGAAUUUAACAAAAAAUUUAACGAAGCUAACGCUCCUAUAAAUUUAUGUCAGAAUUUUAAUUAGAAUAAAAUAUUUAAACUAACUAAUGACAUUAUAAACGUUGAAGCACCAAACUAUAAAAAAAAAAUCAAGCUCAUUUGGAAUAUGGUAUAAGUUCUCUAACAAUCAAAGACUGUAUGGUUUUUCAGAUAGUGAUUUGCGUGGUUGCAUUGAAGAUCGCAAGAGUACAACUGGUUACGUUUUUACUAUGGGUGGCGGAGCUAUUUCCUGGAGCUCAAAGAAGCAACCAUCAACUGCUUUAUCAUCUACAGAGGCUGAAUAUAUAGCUGUUACUGCUGCUGUGUGUCAAGUUGUCUGGAUACGAAGAAUUCUUGAUGAUUUAAAGCUAACACAAGUGGAGGCAACUACCAUUUAUUGUGAUAAUCAGUCAACAAUUGCAAUGACAAAAAACCCCAUUUAUCACUGUAGAACAAGACACAUUGAAACACGUCAUCAUUUCAUAAGAGAGCUGGUUGCAAAGAGAGAUAUCAAGUUGGAGCACUGUUGCACUGAAGAACAAGUUGCUGAUUUGUUCACAAAGCCACUCCCACCGAAGAAGUUCAUGUAUUUGAGAGACUUGUUGGGUGUUGAAGAGUUUCUACCUUAAGGGGGAGUGUUAAAGGGUAAUGUAGAAAUUAUUUGUUACUGAUUGAAUAAGUUAGUCGUUGAGUCAGUCAAAGUCUGUUUUAAAAACAGACUUAGUCUUUGUUUAAUUCCAGUAGUGUUCCUUUUAUUUAGGAGAUUUAUCAAGAUACUAUUAGAGUCCUAAUAUAUCUCUAAGUUGUUAGCUACUUUAUAGUAUUUAAAGUACUCUUCAUGGAAUAAAUGAGUACCUCACUGUUUUCAAUUUUUCUGAAUUCCUAUUGCUUUUGCUUAAGUCCUUUGUUCUGCUUUUUUACUUUUAUACUCAGCAGCAGUUUUUUUGUCAACAACAACUAUGUAUAGUGUUUAAGUGGCAUUCUUCUUCUCCAUGCUGCACAUUUUUACAUAAACUAUAAUUAGUUACAGUAGAAGAAAGAAAUUGAACUUCAUUAGUUAAUAAUGAAAAUAUAUUAAAAUUAAGAAUGGAGUUGUAAACCUGGCAAUGGAUUUCAGCAUUGCUCCAAGGGACCAAUCUUAGAUUGAUAAUGGUAUGGAGGUCAGUGUGUAAGACCUUGACGAGGUCAUUAGAGAUAAAGGAGGCACAACGUGGACAUAAACUUGUUUCAUAGUACAGUGACACAGUAACCUUGUCAUUAACAUUAUUGGGAGGGAGAAAUAAGCCAGAAUAUUGCAAGAGCAGACAGAAUAUAGAAGAUCAAUGGUUGAAGAUAAGCCAUUGUCUUAGUGGUAGCUUCUGCACAAUGUUGAACCUCCAUUAUGCAAGGGUUUUUAUGGUUGAGAAUUGGGAUGAUCACUAUUAUUUUCUAUCAUUUUCAGAAACCAUGUGACGUUAUCAUCCCUAAAAGAACUAUUAUACACCACUUUAAAAAAUUAUUUACAUGAAGAUUGUUUAUUUAUGUAUAAGGUUCUUGCUUUUUCUAAUUUUACUUCUAUUUGCCGUAGAUGCAUAGAAGCAGUGCAGAAUUCAUUAAUUGGAUGCUAAAUCAGCCUUUUUGAAUGGCUUUCUUAAAGAAGAAAUAUAUGUUGAACAGCCUGAUGGUUUCGAAGUCCAAGGACAAGAGGACAAAGUUUACAGGCUUAAGAAAGCUCUUUAUGGCCUGAAGCAUGCACCUCGAGCCUGGUAUGAUAGGAUUGACUCUUACCUAUCUAGGCUUGGUUUUGAGAAAAGUUUGAGUGAGCCAACUCUUUAUGUAAAGAAGUCUAAAGAUGAAACCUUGAUGAUUGUUUCAAUCUAUGUGGACGAUCUGUUGGUGACUAGAAGCAGGGUCAAUUUGGUUCAAGAAUUUAAAUAAAAAAUGUAAGAAGUGUCUGACAUGACAGACUUGAGAAUCAUGACUUAUUUCCUUGGUAUGGAAGUAAACCAGUCUGAUCAAGGCAUUUUCAUUAGUCAGCAUGCCUUUGCCCUGAAAAUUUUCACUAAAUUUCACAUGGAAAACUGUAAAUCAGUGAGUACACCACUGGCUCAAGGGGAGAAACUGACUAGUUUUGAAAGCCAAGAAAGAGGUGAUGAAAAGGAAUACAGAAGCCUAGUUGGUUGUUUGCUUUACUUAACAGCAACCAGACCUGACCUCAUGCAUGCUGUUAGUUUGUUGUCGAGAUUCAAGCAUUGUUGCAAUACAUCUCAUUCCAAAACAGCUAGGAGGAUACUCAGGUAUAUCAAAGGAACUUUGAAGUUUGGAGUCAUGUUCAAGAAAAGAAGUGAGCUUAAGCUAGUUGGUUACUCAGAUAGUGACUGGGCUAGGUCUAUUGAUGAUAUGAGAAGUACCUCGGGCUAUUUCUUUACACUUAGCUCAGGAUUUUUCUGUUUGAGUUCUAAAAAGCAACAGACAGUUGCUCAAUCAACAGCUGAAGCAGAAUACAUAGUAGCUGCAGCAGCAGUCAAUCAAGCCAUUUGGCUUAGAAAGUUACUAUGUGACUUGAAUGAAGAACAACAUGAACCUACUGAAUGGUGGACAAUCAGUCAGUAGUUGCCAUAGCCAAGAAUUCGGUUUUUCAUGGCAAAACCAAACAUUUUAAACUUAAGUUUCAUUUUGUUCGAGAGGCUGUACAAUUGAAGAAAGUUGGACUCAUUCAUUGCAGCUCACAAGAUCAACUAGCUGAUAUCUUGACAAAGCCCCUUGGUACAACAAGGUUUAAUGUCUUGAGAGAUUCAAUUGGUGUUUGUUGCCUACAGUCCAAGGAGGAGUGUUAACCAUGGACUGCAAUGCAACAAGUGACCAAAAGCAGUAGCAGUAGCAGAUCAGCUUGCAUGGCAGCAUCGAGACAGAACCAGAAGCAGUCUACUUAUUUUGUUUCAUUUUGUUCUCUUGUAAGUGAUCAAGUUAGCAUGUAACUUGCUAUCUAAAGUUAGUAAAUUUUAGAUUUGAAAUUGAUGGAUGUAAUAGCUGACAAUAUCAGCUUUGUUUUUUGUAUUGCUUAAGUUAGCUUAUUAGUCAAUUAGUGGGGGCAGUUAAGUGUUUUAGGUAACUGUCAACUUAACUUUGUAACCUCUUAAUAUAUUUUCAAAGUUUGAAUGGAAAUAGAUGAAUUCUUCCUUCAGUUACAUUGUUUUAAUGUUCUUCAUAUCUCUGCUUUGCUUGCUGUUUUUGUUUGAUCAUGCUUGCUGUUUCUUUCUAUUUUAACAAAGAACAAUUAUAACCACUUUAAAAAGGUGUUGUUCCAAUAGGGUCGGAAGCGUGUAAAUUAUUGUACUAAAAAAUCACACAAAGUUCAAUUCCCAGGGAAGAGAGGUGGAUCACAUGGAUCUCUUAAAUACCAAGUCUUUCCUUAGACAGAAUAUCCCUUCUAUAGUAAUUUAAUAGCACAAUUAAAUACUACUAUUAUACCCUCAAAUAUUGAAAGAAAAAUAGGACAAGAAAGAACACAAGAGUUUUAACGAGGUUCGGUAAAUUAUACCUAAGUCCUCGGGCACUAACACCAGAUGAUAACUUUACUAUCUCCAAAGUAUUACAAACAAAUAGAAUUCCUUAAGAAUUCUCAAAUGGAAGAAGAGAGAAAACUAAGAGAGAAAGAUUGGUUGGGAUGGUUGAAAUGAGAAAUGGUUAGGCCUAUUUAUAGUUGAGGUUUAGGGACUAACUUGCAAAUGGCCUAAAAAAUUAGGGACCAAAAUUGCAAUUAUCCCAUUCAACUUUAAACAACUUGCCUAUCACUUUUUUCUUUCGGUGCCAAUUGCACCUCCCACCAUUUUUGACUUUUCAACAAUCUCCACCUUGAAGAUUUGAUUAGGAUAAUCACAUCUUCACAUACUUCCUUCAACUCCCCAAAUUUGAUGAAGCUAUCUUUUGUAGUGCCUCCAAAUGCGCUCUCGAGCGCCAUACACCUAAAGGUGCUCAAAUUCUCAGGAUGUUAAUCAAGUUCAAACAAUGAUUAAACUUGAUUGUUGUUACCACCUUGGUCAUCAUAUCUGCGGGAUUAUCUGCUGUUGGAAUCUUCUGAAGUAGAAUUUUUCCUUUUUCAAAGACUUCCCGCACAAAGUGAUAUCUUACGUCGAUAUGUUUGGUUCUUGAAUGAUAGACUUGAUUUUUCGUUAAAUGAAUAGCGCUCUGACUGUCACAAUAUAAACUUAUGUGACUUUGAACAACUCCUAAGUCUUUCAACAAUCCAUUAAGCCAAAUAGCCUCCUUAACAGCUUCUGUAACUGCCAUAUAUUCUGCCUCUAUAGUAGACACAGCUACUGUAGACUGUAAGGUAGACUUCCAACUCACUGGGGCUUUCGCAAGAGUAAACAGAUACCCCGUAGUUGAACGACGUUUAUCUAAAUCACCAGCAAAGUCGGAAUCAACAUAUCCAACUACAAACUGACCAAGUGCUUCAUCCUGUUCAAAAAUUAAACCAACAUCUACGGUUUUUCGAAGAUACCGUAGAAUCCAUUUCACAGCUUGCCAAUGUCCUUUUCCAGGAUCAUGCAUAUACCUGCUCACAACUCCAACAGCUUGUGAAAUGUCAGGCCUCGUACACACCAUCGCAUACAUCAAACUCCCAACUGCAUUAGCAUAUGGGACUUUCGCCAUAUAUUCUCUUUCAUCUUCAGUCUUCGGAGAUAAUUGAGCACUAAGUUUCAAAUGAGAAGCAAGUGGGGUACUUACAUGUUUUGUGUUUUCAUUUACACCAAAACAUUGUAAUACCUUUUUCAGAUAUUGCUUCUGAUUUAAACAGAGCUUGCCUCUCGAUCUAUCUCUACUUAUCUCCAUGCCGAGAAUCUUCUUGGCCUCACCUAGAUCUUUCAUCUCGAACUCUUGAUUCAACUGAGCCUUCAGCUUAUCUAUCUCAUUUUGGCUCUUCGAAGCGAUUAACAUAUCAUCAACAUACAAGAGUAGAUAAAUGAAAGAUCCGUCAUGCAGCUACUGCAAAUAUACACAAUUGUCAUAUUUGCUUCUUGUGUACUUCUGCCUUCUCAUAAAGCUAUCAAAUCGCUUGUACCACUGCCUCGGGGAUUGCUUCAAUCCAUAUAGCGAUUUGUUCAGCUUACAAACCCAAUUUCUACCACCAGCAUCUGUGUAUCCUUCGGGCUGAGUCAUAUAGAUCUCCUCUUCUAACUCACCAUGCAAGAAAGCCGUCUUAACAUCAAGUUGAGCUAGCUCCAAAUUCAACUGUGCUACCAAGGCCAACAAAAUUCUAAUGGAGGAAUGCUUCACAACAGGGGAAAAUACAUCAUUGUAGUCAAUUCCCUCCUUCUGAGCGUAGCCUUUAGCUACCAAUCUUGCUUUGUAGCGAAUAUCCUUCUUGCUAGGAGAUCCAUCUUUCUUUGCGAAUACCCACUUGCAUCCGAUUGCCCUUUUACCUUUCGGUAAUUGCGCCAACUCCCAAGUAUUGUUCUUCCGGAGAGACUGCAUUUCUUCAUCCAUGGCGCUUUUCCAUUUAUCACUUUCUAAGCUUUGCAUUGCUUCUUGAUAAGUGAUAGGAAUAUCAUCAACAACGGGAAGGGCGUAGGCCACCAUAUCAGUAAAUCGAGCAGGUUUACGAAUUUCUCUCCGUGGCCUUGCAACUGCAACUGGUUCUGGUGUACUUAGUGGUUCUUGGGUCAGAACCUCUUCAACCUCUAAUUCCUCCAUUGUGGCUGGAGAAUUAGACUUAUUAACUGGGCAAAUCCCCAUCUGCUCAAACUCCACCUGUUUUGGAGUACACUCCACCUGCUGUGGAGUAUUGCUCGUCUGAAUAUCUUUAUUUGCUACCUUUUUCAAUGUGGCAGAUUCAUCAAAGGUAACAUCUCUGCUACAGAUCAUUUUCUUUGUGCUUAAGCACCAAAGACGAAAUCCCUUCACUCCAGAAGUGAUUCCCAUAAAGAGAGCUUUCUUUGCCCUCGGAUCUAACUUUGACUCCUUCACAUGGUAAUAUGCAGUGGUUCCAAACACAUGUAAGGAAUCAUAAUCUGUAGCCGAUUUACCAGACCAUACCUCUAUAGGAGUUUUUCUUUCUAAUGCAGAUGAUGGCAAACGAUUAACAAGAUGGCCAGCGUAUGUCACAGCCUCAGCCCAAAAUUGCUUGCCCAACCCAGCAUUGGACAACAUACAUCGAACUUUCUCCAGCAAUGUUCGAUUCAUACGCUCUGCCACUCCAUUCUGCUGUGGUGUAUCCCUAACUGUGAAGUGUCGAACAAUACCAUACUCUUGGCACACAUCGAAGAACGGAUCACUUUUAUAUUCCCCUCCAUUGUCCAUCCUAAGCCGCUUGAUUUUCUUGCCAGUCUGGUUUUCGAUCAUAGUUUUCCAUUUAAGAAAAACUCUAAGCACUUCAUCCUUAGUUCUCAUGGUAUACACCCAAACUCUUCUGGAAAAGUCAUCAACAAGAGUAACAAAGUAGUGUUUUCCUCCCAACGAAGGUGUUUUGGAAGGCCCCCACACAUCUGAGUGAACAUAUUCCAAAAUACCUUUUGUAUUAUGGAUAGCAGUACCGAAUUUCACUCUCUUUUGCUUUCCCAGAACACAAUGCUUGCAAAAUUUUAAUUUGCAAGCCUUUGCACCUUUCAACAAUCCUUGCUUUGCCAGAAUUUGCAAGGAUUUUUCGCUGGCAUGUCCCAACUUCAUAUGCCACAACUGUAUUGAGUCCAAUUCUUUGUUGCCGGAAGCUGCAGCGACUGCUCCAAUAACUGUACUACCUUGGUAGUAAUACAAGUUAUUUUUCCUGAUGCCCUUCAAUAUCACAAGUGCGCCAGAUGUCACUUUCAAAAUCCCAUCUCUUAUAGUAACAACUGAACCAUUGGAUUCCAAGGCUCCCAAUGAGAUGAGAUUUUUCUUCAAACUGGGCACGUACCGAACAUCAGUCAGAACUCUGGUUGAUCCAUCUUGAUUCUUUAAUUGGAUUGAACCUAUCCCAACAGUUUUACAGGCAUUGUCAUUGCCCAUAUAAACAACUCCUCCAUUUAGUUCUACUAAAUCAGAGAACCACUCCCGGUUAGGGGACAUAUGAAAGGUACAACCCGAAUCCAAUAUCCACUCAUCUGAAUGGAACGACGAUGAUGAUGCAACCAGUGAUAGUUCAGAGUCACUAGUAUCAUGCUUAGCAACACAAGCAUCUACAGCAGCUUUUCCCUUAUUCUUCAGCUUUGGACAAUUUUUCUUCCAGUGGCCUUUCUCAUGACAAAAGGCACAUUCAUCUUUCCCGAGUCUGGACUUUGACUUUGAUCUCCCCUUUUGAGUUUUCUUCCGAGUGUAUGAACGACCUCGGACUACUAAAGCUUCUGUAUCUCUGAUUGAGUUUUUCUGUUUGUCCUUCUUUCUCUGUUCAUAACUGUAUAAGGCCGCACAGACUUCGCUCAGAGAUAUAUCACUCCUGCCAUGAAGUAGAGUAGUUUCUAGGAACUCAAACUCCUCAGGAAGUGACCCCAACAGCAUCAAAGCCAAAUCUUCAUCUUUGAAUGUCUCAUCCAUAUUCAGCAAAUCAGUGAUUAACUGAUUAAAUUUGGUGAUGUGAUCAUUCAUUGUGGUACUUGGGACGUAUGUGAAGCGAAACAGUCUUUUCUUCAAGUGGAGCUUAUUUUGACUGUUUUUCUUCAAAAAAAUUUCUUCAAGUGCCACCCACAACUUAUUUGCAGAAGUCUCCUUUGAAAAAGCAUACCUCUGCUCUCAAGAAAGGCAUGAUCGAAUUGUGCCACAUGCCAACCGAUUGAUCGCCUUCCAAUCUUUCUCCUGUACAUCAUCUGGUUUCUCUUCAUCAAUGGCAAUGUCUAGACCCUGCUGAAAAAGGGCAUCUAGAACCUCACUUUGCCACAUACCAAAAUGGCCCGUGCCAUCAAAGAUCUCCACGGCCAAUCUUGCAUUUGCAAUUUUCGGUCUUGUCCACAUGGACGAUGUUGAAGCUCCUACACCGACCGUUUUCUCCAUAAUCUUUCAAUAUACCUAAGGAAAUCUUUUCUGAUGUGGAAGAUCAGUUUAAACUGCAACCACAGAGCAUACUACGAUUAACCUUCGGCUCUUGAUACCACUUGUUGUUCCAAUAGGGUCGGAAGCGUGUAAAUUAUUGUACUAAAAAAUCACACAAAGUUCAAUUCCCAGGGAAGAGAGGUGGAUCACAUGGAUCUCUUAAAUACCAAGUCUUUCCUUAGACAGAAUAUCCCUUCUAUAGUAAUUUAAUAGCACAAUUAAAUACUACUAUUAUACCCUCAAAUAUUGAAAGAAAAAUAGGACAAGAAAGAACACAAGAGUUUUAACGAGGUUCGGUAAAUUAUACCUACGUCCUCGGGCACUAACACCAGAUGAUAACUUUACUAUCUCCAAAGUAUUACAAACAAAUAGAAUUCCUUAAGAAUUCUCAAAUGGGAGAAGAGAGAAAACUAAGAGAGAAAGAUUGGUUGGGAUGGUUGAAAUGAGAAAUGGUUAGGCCUAUUUAUAGUUGAGGUUCAGGGACUAACUUGCAAAUGGCCUAAAAAAUUAGGGACCAAAAUUGCAAUUAUCCCAUUCAACUUUAAACAACUUGCCUAUCACUUUUUUUCUUUCGGUGCCAAUUGCACCUCCCACCAUUUUUGACUUUUCAACAAAAGGAAUACUUGAAAUCAAGACUUUAGAUGGAGAAACGAGAUAUAUAAAACAACAAGCUUAAAUUGUAGAUCAGUUUCAUAUGUAGGGUUGCUUGAGAAAGAGCAUACAUAGAAACAUGGUGUAGUUGAUGACUUACGGAUUUGGUAACUCCAAAUCCAUGUCCAUUGUAAUCGGUGGAAUUUAUCUUUGUUUAGCUACUUUUUAGCUAUUUGUUUGGGUAUAAAUUGUUGAGAAAUGUCUUCGUUUGGGGUUAUAUUGCAUUCAAGAAAUGGAAACUCAAGUGAAGUACAUAUGGGUUAUGGUGUUUAUUGUGAGUAUAAGCAUUGUAGAGUUCCAUGGAACUCAAUAGCUUUUAAAAAUUCAAACAAAAUUAAAUUAAACUGAGCAAGUGGCGGUAGGUAGCAAUGGAAGGGUGGCGGCAGACUAGAGGACCCUAGGUGUGCCGCACCUAAGGUUAGGGUUUUCAGAAUUUUUGAAAAUAAUUUAGGUUGUGAGCUAGGGUUUUGAUUAUUUUGGGCCUGUAAAUUUGGGCUUUUUUUUGUUUGGUUUUUUGUUUGUUUGCCUGGGCUCGGGGCUAAAUUUGGGCUGUACACAUACAACGUAAUCUUAAAACUUAAAGUUGAAUAUAAUUAUUGUAAUUUAACGUGGCUCCAUUCGACGCAAAAAUCCAACACAUUAAGUAUAUCUUUAUAUUUAGUAGUGUUCAUCUAUUUCUUUCACUAAACCAUAUGUACAUAUUGAUUAUAACAUUCUUUCACUAAACAUUUUAGCAUAACUCUUAUAAUACAUUCUUUCAACUCUAACAUAUCAUAUCAUAUCAUAUCAUUACAUUAAUUACACAUAAAAUAUUCUUUUACACAUAAUCUGCCAAAAUAUUAUUUGUUGUUAUCAUCAUACCGUAAAAUGAAUCGGACUACAAAUUCAAUGCAUUUAGGGAAUAUUAUUUGAGAAAUGUCUUCAUUUGGGGUUUAAGUUUAAGUUAUGCUGAAUAUUGCUUAAUAAUCUGGUAACUCCAAAUUACUGUAAUCGGUGGAAUUCAUCUUUGUUUAGCUACUUUUCAUCUAUUUUGGGUAUAAAAUUUUUGAGAAAUGUCUUCGUUUGGGUUCAAAUUGUAGAUGAGUAUAACUGAUUAUUGCAUUCAAGAAAUGGAAUCUCAAGUGAAAUACAUGUGGGUUAUAGUAUUUAUUGUGAGUAUAAGCAUUGCAGGAUUCCAUGGAGUGGCUGUAACUCAUGAUUAUUAUGGUCCUGUGGGAAGCAUGACGUAGAGAAGGAAGCUCAGAAGCUGUCUCCAUGUACAUACGCAACCAAAUACCGGAGAGCUCCAGUUUCCGAGCGUUGCUGCGCUAUAAUAGAGAAAAAGCUUAGCAAUCCAGACUGUCUCUGUGCUAUUUUGCAAACUCGUAUGCUGGAGUGAGAAAUGAAAUCCAAGUGUAGCUAGUUUUCUCACAUCAUAUUUGAUCUUUAAGGUAUCAUCCUUACUAUUUAGGGAUGGCAAAACUCAAACCAUCAUUCAGAAUAGAGAGGAUUUUCUUUUGAAAGUGAAUGCAGAUUGAAUUUUAUAGUAGUUAAAGCAAUUAACACACAGGCUUGUAACACAAGGUAACUUGAAAAUGGUACCAUAAUCUCACUCAAUCGAACGAAAUGGGGUCAUGGCAACAUGGAUUCGUGGCUGAUUCGGUGCUCGUGUUGUGGUGUUCAUCGGAUCUUCAUCUGUUUAAGAAUCUUAACCAUCAGGUGACACCUGUUUUGGAUUAAGUUAUAAAAAUUAUGCCACUUACAGCAAUUAUUUUAAUUAGUUAAUGACAACCUUAAACAUCAAAUCCUCUUCGACUUGCAAUUUUUUCCGCAGAAAACAAUAUCA
This 11747-nucleotide long non-coding RNA is filed under the name Gossypium barbadense (sea-island cotton). Its description in RNAcentral is "long non-coding RNA (GBAR_LNC023113)". Lineage: Eukaryota; Viridiplantae; Streptophyta; Magnoliopsida; Malvales; Malvaceae. The record is from RNAcentral.